UAUGAACGCUAGCUACAGGCUUAACACAUGCAAGUCGAGGGGCAGCAUGAAGUUUGCUUGCAAACUUUGAUGGCGACCGGCGGAUGGGUGAGUAACGCGUACCCAACCUGCCCCCUUCCCGGGCACAGCCCUUGGAAACGAGGAUUAACGCCCGAUGGCGUCUGGAUGCCGCAUGGCAUUCCGACCAAAUGCGAAGGAAGGGGAUGGGGGUGCGUCCCAUUAGCUAGUUGGCGGGGUAACGGCCCACCAAGGCAUCGAUGGGUAGGGGUUCUGAGAGGAAGGUCCCCCACACUGGAACUGAGACACGGUCCAGACUCCUACGGGAGGCAGCAGUGAGGAAUAUUGGUCAAUGGUCUGACGACUGAACCAGCCAUGCCGCGUGAAGGAGACGGCCCCUAUGGGUCUUAAACUUCUUUUGUAAGGGAGCAAUAAGUCCUACGUGUAGGAUGAUGAGAGUACCUUACGAAUAAGCAUCGGCUAACUCCGUG
RNAcentral lists this ribosomal RNA (488 nucleotides) under uncultured bacterium. Its description in RNAcentral is "bacterial SSU rRNA". It matches the Rfam family "Bacterial small subunit ribosomal RNA", at positions 29 to 507 of the family's 1533-position model. The record is from RNAcentral.